Molecule: ribosomal RNA, 233 nt
Filed under: Keithomyces acicularis
Lineage: Eukaryota; Fungi; Ascomycota; Sordariomycetes; Hypocreales; Clavicipitaceae
Description: Metarhizium aciculare 5.8S ribosomal RNA
Rfam family: Eukaryotic large subunit ribosomal RNA (bases 177-233)
Source: RNAcentral
CAACCCUCAAGACCCCUGUGGACUUGGUGUUGGGGACCGGCGGCGCCUCUCUGGUGUCACCGCCCCCUAAAUGAAUUGGCGGCCUCGUCGCGGCCCUCCUCUGCGUAGUAGCACACACCUCGCAACAGGAGCCCGACGGCGGCCACUGCCGUAAAACGCCCAAACUUUUUUAGAGUUGACCUCGAAUCAGGUAGGAAUACCCGCUGAACUUAAGCAUAUCAAUAAGCGGAGGA